CCCGCUGAACUUAAGCAUAUCAGUAAGCGGAGGAAAAGAAAAUAACAAUGAUUACCUCAGUAGCGGCGAGUGAAGAGGUAUAAGCCCAAGAUGUUAAUCUGCAGUAAGGCUGUGGAAUUGUAAUCUAUAGAAUUUCUCAGAAGGGGAGACUUGUCAUAAGUUCUUUGGAACAAGACACCAUAGAGGGUGAAAGUCCCGUCUUUGGAUAAGUCGAGCUGUAUGAGACGUUUCUAAGAGUCGGGUAGUUUGGGAAUGCUGCCCUAAGUGGGAGAUAAACUUCUCCUAAGGCUAAAUAUAAGAUAGGAGACCGAUAGCAUACAAGUACUGCGAAGGAAAGAUGAAAAGAACUUUGAAAAGAGGGUUAAAAGACUUGAAAUCGUUGAAAAGGAAGCAGUAAAAGAGAAAUUAUAGCCGGCGUAUUAAGCUCCUCUCAUAAACUUGGGGGUGGAGGACACUUCAUAGGGUCCUUGCCUUUAAGCGAAAGUUAGUAGCGUUGCGCAGGUGAAAGGCAAAAUGACUUGCCCCUGUAAUAAUAAAGUCUAAGCAUAUUGCGAAGCCUAAAAUUACAGAGGCGAGUGAGGGAUUAGCUAAUGAUUUUGCCAAAAUGGCUUUUACUGACCCGUCUUGAAACACGG
RNAcentral lists this ribosomal RNA (635 nucleotides) under uncultured fungus. RNAcentral's name for it is "eukaryotic LSU rRNA". It matches the Rfam family "Eukaryotic large subunit ribosomal RNA", at positions 24 to 664 of the family's 3401-position model. Lineage: Eukaryota; Fungi. The record is from RNAcentral.